GCUGGGCGCAGUGGUGCACACCUGUAAUCCCAGCGGCUUGGGAGGCUGAGACAGGAGAAUCAUGAGUUCAAAGCCAUCCUCAGCAAUUUAGUGAGGCCCUAAGCAACUUGGUGAGAUCCUGUCUCUA
This 127-nucleotide small RNA is filed under the name Marmota monax (woodchuck). The record is from RNAcentral. Lineage: Eukaryota; Metazoa; Chordata; Mammalia; Rodentia; Sciuridae.